CGCGGCCUAUCAGCUUGUUGGUGGGGUAAUGGCCUACCAAGGCAACGACGGGUAGCUGGUCUGAGAGGAUGUCCAGCCACACUGGGACUGAGACACGGCCCAGACUCCUACGGGAGGCAGCAGUGGGGAAUCUUGCACAAUGGGCGAAAGCCUGAUGCAGCGACACCGCGUGCGGGAUGAAGGCCCUCGGGUCGUAAACCGCUUUCAGCAGGGACGAUAGUGACGGUACCUGCAGAAGAAGCCCCGGCCAACUACGUGCCAGCAGCCGCGGUAAUACGUAGGGGGCAAGCGUUGUCCGGAUUUAUUGGGCGUAAAGAGCUCGUAGGCGGUUCGAUAAGUCGGGUGUGAAAUCUCCAGGCUCAACCUGGAGGCGCCACUCGAUACUGUCGUGACUUGAGUUCGGUAGAGGAGUAUGGAAUUCCCGGUGUAGCGGUGAAAUGCGCAGAUAUCGGGAGGAACACCCGUAGCGAAGGCGGUACUCUGGGCCGAAACUGACGCUGAGGAGCGAAAGCGUGGGGAGCGAACAGGAUUAGAUACCCAGGUAGUCCACGCCGUAAACGUUGGGCACUAGGUGUGGGGAUCUAUCGACGGUUUCCGUGCCGUAGCUAACGCAUUAAGUGCCCCGCCUGGGGAGUAC
RNAcentral lists this ribosomal RNA (637 nucleotides) under uncultured bacterium. RNAcentral describes it as "bacterial SSU rRNA". It matches the Rfam family "Bacterial small subunit ribosomal RNA", at positions 232 to 883 of the family's 1533-position model. The record is from RNAcentral.